UUAACUCAUAUUUCAUAAAUCCUUGACAAUCCUUUUCCCUUCAUCGAGAAUGUUGUGGUCACUGAACAGAAUAUCGACUGCAAACCUGAUACGUGCAUCUUGGACCAUAUCGUGCGUGAAGACUGAUUGCAACGCAUUCCUAGAACGCCAGUUCUCUAACCAGUUCAAGACAAAAAUCCCGCAUGCAUCACUAUUUUCCGGAAAAAAGAAAUGUUGACAGAAAAAUAAAGUCAGAAAUGAUAAACGAUCAGUACAUGCACUGAACUACAAAAAAUUGAAAAACAUGUGAAUGUAGGAAAUAUAAGUACAGAGAAAGGAUCUUCAUCUAACCAUCCUUACUGCUUCAGUAAGUUUGGAUAUGCAGUU
This 366-nucleotide long non-coding RNA is filed under the name Triticum aestivum (bread wheat). RNAcentral describes it as "long non-coding RNA (TAES_LNC021410)". The record is from RNAcentral. Lineage: Eukaryota; Viridiplantae; Streptophyta; Magnoliopsida; Poales; Poaceae.